AACGCGGAGAACCUUACCAAGGCUUGACAUAUACGAGAACGGGCCAGAAAUGGUCAACUCUUUGGACACUCGUAAACAGGUGGUGCAUGGUUGUCGUCAGCUCGUGUCGUGAGAUGUUGGGUUAAGUCCCGCAACGAGCGCAACCCUCGUUCUAUGUUGCCAGCACGUAAUGGUGGGAACUCAUGGGAUACUGCCGGGGUCAACUCGGAGGAAGGUGGGGAUGACGUCAAAUCAUCAUGCCCCUUAUGUCUUGGGCUUCACGCAUGCUACAAUGGCCGGUACAAAGGGCUGCAAUACCGCGAGGUGGAGCGAAUCCCAAAAAGCCGGUCCCAGUUCGGAUUGAGGUCUGCAACUCGACCUCAUGAAGUCGGAGU
RNAcentral lists this ribosomal RNA (374 nucleotides) under Microbacterium sp. Sphe1. Its description in RNAcentral is "bacterial SSU rRNA". It matches the Rfam family "Bacterial small subunit ribosomal RNA", at positions 958 to 1332 of the family's 1533-position model. The record is from RNAcentral. Lineage: Bacteria; Bacillati; Actinomycetota; Actinomycetes; Micrococcales; Microbacteriaceae.